AGGUAAGCUACUAAGAGCGAAUGGUGGAUGCCUUGACUGGUAAAGGCGAUGAAGGACGUACUAGACUGCGAUAAGCUACGGGGAGCUGUCAAGAAGCUUUGAUCCGUAGAUUUCCGAAUGGGGCAACCCAGUAUAUAGAGAUAUAUACUACCAUAAUGGAGCGAACGAGGGGAAUUGAAACAUCUUAGUACCCUCAGGAAAAGAAAUCAAUAGAGAUUACGUCAGUAGCGGCGAGCGAAAGCGUAAGAGGGCAAACCCAGUGCUUGCACUGGGGGUUGUAGGACUGCAAUGUGCAAUAAGUAAGGUUAGUAGAACACUCUGGAAAGUGUAGCCAUAGAGGGUGAUAGUCCCGUAUACGAAAACCAAACUUUAGCUAGCAGUAUCCUGAGUAGGGCGAAACACGUGGAAUUUUGUCUGAAGCUGGGUCGACCACGAUCCAACCCUAAAUACUAAUACCAGAUCGAUAGUGCACAAGUACCGUGAGGGAAAGGUGAAAAGAACUGAGGUGAUCAGAGUGAAAUAGAACCUGAAACCAUUUGCUUACAAUCAUUCAGAGCACUAUGUAGCAAUACAGUGUGAUGGACUGCCUUUUGCAUAAUGAGCCUGCGAGUUGUGGUGUCUGGCAAGGUUAAGCACACGCGAAGCCGUAGCGAAAGCGAGUCUGAAUAGGGCGCUUAAGUCAGAUGCUGCAGACCCGAAACGAAGUGAUCUAUCCAUGAGCAAGUUGAAGCUAGUGUAAGAACUAGUGGAGGACUGAACCCAUAGGCGUUGAAAAGCCCCGGGAUGACUUGUGGAUAGGGGUGAAAGGCCAAUCAAACUUCGUGAUAGCUGGUUCUCUCCGAAAUAUAUUUAGGUAUAGCGUUGUGUCGUAGUAUAAGGGGGUAGAGCACUGAAUGGGCUAGGGCAUACACCAAUGUACCAAACCCUAUCAAACUCCGAAUACCUUAUAUGUAAUCACAGCAGUCAGGCGGCGAGUGAUAAAAUCCGUCGUCAAGAGGGAAACAACCCAGACUAUCAGCUAAGGUCCCCAAGUCUUACUUAAGUGGAAAACGAUGUGAAGUUACUUAAACAACCAGGAGGUUGGCUUAGAAGCAGCCAUCCUUUAAAGAAAGCGUAAUAGCUCACUGGUCUAGUGAUUUUGCGCGGAAA
Molecule: ribosomal RNA, 1149 nt
Filed under: Campylobacter lari
Lineage: Bacteria; Pseudomonadati; Campylobacterota; Epsilonproteobacteria; Campylobacterales; Campylobacteraceae
Description: partial 23S ribosomal RNA
Rfam family: Bacterial large subunit ribosomal RNA
Source: RNAcentral